RNAcentral lists this ribosomal RNA (334 nucleotides) under uncultured bacterium. RNAcentral describes it as "bacterial SSU rRNA". It matches the Rfam family "Bacterial small subunit ribosomal RNA", at positions 28 to 359 of the family's 1533-position model. The record is from RNAcentral.
GAUGAACGCUAGCGGCAGGCUUAACACAUGCAAGUCGUGGGGCAGCGCGAGGUAGCAAUACUUUGGCGGCGACCGGCAAACGGGUGCGUAACACGUACGCAAUCUACCCUUAAUUGGAGAAUAGCCCAGAGAAAUUUGGAUUAAUACUCCGUAACAUGUUGAGAAGGCAUCUUCUUAAUAUUAUAGCUCCGGCGAUUAGGGAUGAGCGUGCGGCUGANAGGUAGUUGGUAGGUAACGGCCUACCAAGCCAACGAUCAGUAGCCGAUGUGAGAGCAUGAUCGGCCACACGGGCACUGAGACACGGGCCCGACUCCUACGGGAGGCAGCAGUGAGG